Cucurbita maxima (winter squash) is the source of this 798-nucleotide long non-coding RNA. RefSeq lists it as uncharacterized. The transcript has 2 exons. NCBI's taxonomy places the organism in Eukaryota, Viridiplantae, Streptophyta, Magnoliopsida, Cucurbitales, Cucurbitaceae. The record is from RefSeq and is a predicted model, not a curated record.
GGAACGAUCGAUAACUUUCUGGAAUUUUCAUUUUGCAUGCCGUGUUUGGUUGGAGAGAACGUGGAGAGAAUUUGAAUAGCGAAGUUUAGAAUUUCUUUCUUUCGUUUCUUCUUUUUAAAAAUAUUCAUUACAUCAAUACGAGUUCAUUUUGACACGCACCGAAUCAAUCAUAUGCACAUCCAAACUUCAUUGAUUGUCCUCUCUGAUUUAGGCAAGUUUUGUAGGUUUUGAGCAACACAAUACGCACAAGAGAAGUUGAAAUCUCAGGUACAUACAACCGUUGGAUUUCAAUUUCUCUACUCAAGAAUUCUCCAGAAGUGAAAUGAAAGAGAGAGAGAGAAAGGGAGAAGGCGUGGUGAGUGCGGUGAGAGAGAAGAGUGGCAAUGCAAAGCAUGCAGUUAAAGAAAGAAGGGGCAGAGCAGAGCAGAGCAGAAGAGAGGUGUGGUUUCUGAUGCAUUUUCUCUUAAUUAUCGCAGUGAGAUGGACAUCAGAAGCCACAGUCUGUGUCUCAAUGGUUGGGCUCUGAUGUUGACAAGUUUUUAGAGAGAGAUAGAGGGGAGAGGAAAGGGAAGGCCAUGUGCUAAAGCCAACUUUUAAGGGAUGUGUCUGAUUGGAUUUAGGUUUUGGCUGAAUAGUCAUAAUACCCACACACACUUCAUACUUCACACCUAUGUCUGGAUGUGUUUUUCUGAAUAAAAUUCUUUUUUAAAGUAAAAGUAGAACCAUACUAUAACAUAAAAUUGUAAACCUCCUUAUGUUAUAUAAAGUUUCAAUUAAUAAGUUUGUGUUGCAUUGUGA